AGCAGAACUUCAACUGUGUUUUUGGUGGCUACUCCGACACUAUGCUUCAAAAUAGCAGAAUUUCAGCUGUGUUUUUUGUAGCUACUCAGACACUGUGCUUCAAAACAGCAAAACUUCAGCUGUGUUUUUGGUGGCUUCUCAGAAACUAUGCUUUAAAAUAGCAGAACUUCAGCUGUGUUUUUAGUGGCUACUCAGACAUUGUGCUUCAAAACAGAUAAUACACUGGCUUGGGAUAACCCUACAGUAGUUGGAAGAAACAGAGAAUUCCCCAAUGGAACCAAAUACAGAUAGUCAGGAGGAUAUGGAAGAUAUCAGUUUUCAGCAAAAUAAUGGCUUUAUAGAAGAGACUUCCUUAAAGGAGGGGAUGCUUUUAUUAUUUU
This is a long non-coding RNA of Bufo gargarizans (Asiatic toad), 380 nucleotides long. RefSeq lists it as uncharacterized. The record is from RefSeq and is a predicted model, not a curated record. NCBI's taxonomy places the organism in Eukaryota, Metazoa, Chordata, Amphibia, Anura, Bufonidae. The transcript has 5 exons.